GGUGGCCCAAUUAUUCCAUGUUUUUUUAGCCUCUUUUUUGGUUUUACUAAGAUGUUUAUUUUUUAGAUUUCUACUGUAGCGAGGAAACUAUUGGUUUUACAAUGCUGUUUAUUUAUUUAUUUUUAUUUAUUUGUUCUUGUCUGUGGACACGUUUUUUCCUUGUAAAUUUGCUCCAAUGUAUGGGUGUAGCACUUUUUCUGAAAACUCGAGUUGUCUAGAUUGUACUUUAAAAAAGUCAUUUUUUUAUUUUAGAUGCGAUUUUUUUUAAAUAUAAGCACUAUAUUAAUAUAAUAU
This is a non-coding RNA of Cinara cedri, 294 nucleotides long. Lineage: Eukaryota; Metazoa; Arthropoda; Insecta; Hemiptera; Aphididae. The record is from the annotation of a GenBank genome assembly.